GUGAAUCCGAUUCUGAUAAAAAAAUUCCUGGAGAGAUAAGCCAGCGAACAACAUACAUGUUCCUAGAAUCAAAGAAAUGAAAAUUAUAUGUGGCCACCAUAUCUUUCAUGAAAUUCUAUUUGUAAUUAAUAAAUUUUUAUUAUGUAAAAAAUAAGCAUCAAUUUGUAAUUAAAAAGUUUGUUUUAUGUAAAAAAAUAAAGCAAGAUAAGGCCCAAAUACAAAUACGAUCCAAUCGGUUAUCGACAGAGAAUUACAGUCCACGGGGAAGUUCACCGUCAUUAUAUACACGGAGCGCAUGCAUGUAUGUAAAACUAAACUACGACUUGAACAGAAACAAAAAAAAAACUAACAAAGAAAAAAAACUAAAAGCGCGUUUAUAUAAAUGGAAGAGAAUUUGUACUCCCUACACACAACAUAUAUCCUAUUUGCACUCCAUACUCUAUUUCCCCCCAAUUUUUUUCCCAAUAGUUAAAUUAAUUAAAUAAAUGAAAACGGAAACUCAAAUAUAAGACAGCUGUUCGGUCAUAUAUAACCAUCGAAAUAAAAGUUUUGUAACCACACAAAAAAAAUAGAAGAAUGGAAAAGCUGUCGUC
Molecule: long non-coding RNA, 593 nt
Filed under: Brassica rapa (field mustard)
Lineage: Eukaryota; Viridiplantae; Streptophyta; Magnoliopsida; Brassicales; Brassicaceae
Description: long non-coding RNA (BRAP_LNC001646)
Source: RNAcentral